Long non-coding RNA from Panicum virgatum (switchgrass), 372 nucleotides. RefSeq lists it as uncharacterized. Lineage: Eukaryota; Viridiplantae; Streptophyta; Magnoliopsida; Poales; Poaceae. The record is from RefSeq and is a predicted model, not a curated record. The transcript is spliced from 4 exons.
CCUCAUCGAUUCAUCUCUGGCUCUAUCCGCAUCACUCCGAAAAACAACUCCCCAGCCAGCCAACGCUCCUGCGCUGCGCCCCUUCUGCGAUCUUCGCCCACGAUCGACUCCAUCCAUUGACUCCACAUAUAAGCAGGAUAAAGAGCUACAAAAAGUACUAAAAGUGAAAAGAGGUACAAAAGAAGCAACAAUCAAAUUCCAAAAGAUAAAUAUCAGUUUGCCUUCUCAAAUUGAAUGAGAACUACUACAAAGGGUAUGGAAUUCCAAACGAAACACCAAGGAAGAUCACAUUAUAACACCUUCAUCUGUUUGUGAUAUACCAAAAGGUAUGGAACCAUGGCAGAGACAAAGAGAGAGAGAGAGAGAGAGAGA